This 430-nucleotide ribosomal RNA is filed under the name Bacillota bacterium. RNAcentral describes it as "Firmicutes bacterium partial 16S ribosomal RNA". It matches the Rfam family "Bacterial small subunit ribosomal RNA", at positions 355 to 776 of the family's 1533-position model. The record is from RNAcentral. Lineage: Bacteria; Bacillati; Bacillota.
UGGGGAAUUUUUCGCAAUGGGGGAAACCCUGACGAAGCAACGCCGCGUGGAGGAUGAAGGCCUUCGGGUCGUAAACUCCUGUCGACCGGGACGAAAGUAGUCCGACCCAAUACGUCGGGCUAUCGACUGUACCGGUGGAGGAAGCCACGGCUAACUCUGUGCCAGCAGCCGCGGUAAUACAGAGGUGGCAAGCGUUGUUCGGAAUUACUGGGCGUAAAGGGCGCGUAGGCGGCCUUGCAAGUCCUGCGUGAAAUCCCUCGGCUCAACUGAGGAAUUGCACGGGAAACUGUUUGGCUUGAGUUCGGGAGAGGGAAGCGGAAUUCCGGGUGUAACGGUGAAAUGCGUAGAUAUCCGGAGGAACACCGGUGGCGAAGGCGGCUUCCUGGACCGACACUGACGCUGAGGCGCGAAAGCUAGGGGAGCAAACGGG